UGGGGAAUAUUGGGCAAUGGGCGAAAGCCUGACCCAGCAACGCCGCGUGAGGGAAGAAGGGUUUCGGCUCGUAAACCUCUGUCCUAUGGGACGAAGGAAGUGACGGUACCAUAGGAGGAAGCCCCGGCUAACUACGUGCCAGCAGCCGCGGUAAUACGUAGGGGGCGAGCGUUGUCCGGAAUGAUUGGGCGUAAAGGGCGCGUAGGCGGCCUGCUAAGUCUGGAGUGAAAGUCCUGCUUUCAAGGUGGGAAUUGCUUUGGAUACUGGUGGGCUGGAGUGCAGGAGAGGAAAGCGGAAUUACCGGUGUAGCGGUGAAAUGCGUAGAGAUCGGUAGGAACACCAGUGGCGAAGGCGGCUUUCUGGACUGAAACUGACGCUGAGGCGCGAAAGCGUGGGGAGCAAACA
RNAcentral lists this ribosomal RNA (405 nucleotides) under uncultured bacterium. RNAcentral's name for it is "bacterial SSU rRNA". It matches the Rfam family "Bacterial small subunit ribosomal RNA", at positions 355 to 774 of the family's 1533-position model. The record is from RNAcentral.